UUGGGGCCGCGAGUCGCGCAGCAAGGAGGCUUCUGGCUUCUCUAUUUUUAGCCUCUGAACGUUUUCCAAAAUAAUUACCAAAAGGAAAUACACACGCACACAUGGACCUAACACACAAAACGUCCUUCUGCGGGAAGCCAGCACUAGGAAAGAAAAAAAAAAAAAUCCGAAGUGAAAUUAUGACACAGGGUUUUGUAACCCGCGGUGGCGCGCUUCUGAAACCCGAGCCCGGCAGCGGCUUCUUAUCUGCACCGCGUUCCAGGAAGCAGCCGGCGUUUCGGCCGCGCAAGGGCAGCCGCCGCACGUAGGCAGCGUCCCCCAGCCCGGGACCCGCAGGAAUGCGAGGGGCAAGACAGAUCGCCGGAGGAGCAGGGGUCAGAAGUCAGUGUUUAACCACUCACUGGCUUUCGGUGAAGCCAGAAUGUUAGCAGCGAGUCGCGGUCGGGGGCCUUGGGGUUGCACACGCUUGCUCCAAGCACCGAGGCUCAGCUGAGCACAUGCACAACCCUCUCGAUGCAGCGGAAAGUCGUGUGGCUUAGGGCCGCACCCCGAAUUUCGCCGCACCCGCCGCUGUGCCAUUUACAACCCCCCACCCCGCCACUGCUGUCACGUAGCAAUCAAGAGUAAAGGUUAUCACAAAGUCUGUUCUUCGAAGGAAAGAGUUGGAAUCAAGGACUUCGGACGGGAGGAAGUUGUUUGGGGCUGAGAGCCAAUGAAGUUUCCUUUCGUCUAAGCUACUUUGGUUGACUUUCUGCCAUCACAAUACAGUCUUCGUGCACCCAGUAUUUCAGACUGCACUCAACUGCUAAGAUUCAAACUUCAACAAAAUGCAGAAUUUUAGUUGUUUACCUUUUUAGUUACAUGGACUCAAAAACAAGCAUCACCAUAACUUUCCACUGUGUGUGACAAUAUAAGAGUCAUAUCUUUGUGGCUCCAAAAAUGUUUAAAAAAGCAACUAGUAUAUUCAAUAUUUAGCUCAUAAGAGCUAAGCACUGUAAAAUACGUCUGACAUCUUCAACAUCAAACUAGAAUAAAGGUAAAAUUAAAAUAGGGUAGAAGAGUGUUCAUGCAUGAUCCAAUCUCACAUGAAACCCUAGUCCUAAAAAAAAGGCAACUCCCAAAUAGGUGUCUUGAUUUCACCCAGUGGCUUUAAAAUAGUUCUUAAUCAUGUAUGCAUUAAGAAGCCAAAACUCAUUGUUAUUUCUGAAGCACAUUAUUUUGAAAUUCUGUUUAAAUCUUCCAUAUUUGUAUGAUGAAAGUUAUGUCACAAAGUUAAUCAUUCCCAGGAUGCUUGCAGUAGGGGUAAUGAAAAACUUCUUGUGCAAGCGGCCAUUAAUCAGCAGUGUAACAUUGCAUAACGUGCUCCAAAGCACGUGUCAUGGGAUCAGAGUACACAGCUGCAUAAUGCAGGCCAGUGUCUGUGCCUCCUGCUGACCUUUUCCAAUGCAGAACUCGAACCAUGUGAUGCAUGCUUCUUGCCAAGUCACUUAUUGCCAAUGAUUAAGUUGGAUGAUAUGGAGAAACAUAAAUUUCUUUCUUUCUUUUUUUUUUUUGGAGUUCUAAAAGGAAGACUCUUUGAAGUCCCUGGCUUCUGGCACAGUGUUGUUGCUGGCUUGGUUAUAUUACUCUUGAUCAUUAUAAAAACUCUCCAUUAAAACUGAUAUCAAAUAUUUUGCUCAAGUGGUUCCUGGCAUUUGCAUUAGAAACAAUAGACAUACCCCCACAAGAAGAGUAUUUUAUAUGUAAGCAACGCAAAAAGUCAAAGACGCUAGAAGCCAAAGACAUACAUAUAUCAAAUCCCAAUCCAUCACGUUUGAUGUUCUUGAGCAAUACUGUUAGCGAGAAACUAUUACUUAAUCUUGCUAGUAUUAUCCAAAGAGAACACUUGCGAAAUACUUAAGACAAACAUGCUGUAAUUAUUACAUGAAUAAAGAGCUUGUGUAGCAUAAACUGUUUUUGUAACAUCAACACAAAUUCUGUUGGAGCAGGCUAAUAAUUAGCCGUGGUAACAACAAUGGCCACUGUGUUUGAGAAGCUCUGAGAGGUAACAGUGCUGCCGGAGGUGAGAUGACUCACGCGUUAUCUUCUACCCUCAAAGUAGCCUUGGUGUAGAGGGACUGUUUUCAAUAAUAUCUUAACCUAGAAAGUCUUCUGAAAUUUCACCAAGGGCUAAUUAUACAUUCUAGUACCAACUAGAAUAUAUCUGGUUCCCUAACAUAUAUUGGAAAUUAAAUUUCAUCUUCAUUUUACUUUUUUUUUUUAAGGAAAGGACUCUUCGAUUUGAUUACUAGCAAACUCUUACUGUACAUGAAAUCCUGUUCAAGGUCUGAAAGCUCA
RNAcentral lists this long non-coding RNA (2337 nucleotides) under Homo sapiens (human). RNAcentral's name for it is "long non-coding RNA NONHSAT219818.1". Lineage: Eukaryota; Metazoa; Chordata; Mammalia; Primates; Hominidae. The record is from RNAcentral.